AUUGAACGCUGGCGGCAUGCCUUACACAUGCAAGUCGAACGGCAGCGGGGGAGAAGCUUGCUUUUCCUGCCGGCGAGUGGCGAACGAGUGAGUAAUACAUCGGAACGUGCCCUGUAGUGGGGGAUAACUAGUCGAAAGAUUAGCUAAUACCGCAUACGACCUGAGGGUGAAAGUGGGGGACCGCAAGGCCUCAUGCUAUAGGAGCGGCCGAUGUCUGAUUAGCUAGUUGGGGGGGUAAAGGCCUACCAAGGCGACGAUCAGUAGCUGGUCUGGGAGGACGAUCAGCCACACUGGGGCUGAGACACGGCCCAGACUCCUACGGGAGGCAGCAGUGGGGAAUUUUGGACAAUGGGCGAAAGCCUGAUCCAGCAAUGCCGCGUGUGUGAAGAAGGCCUUCGGGUUGUAAAGCACUUUUGUCCGGAAAGAAAUGGCUCUGGUUAAUACCUGGGGUCGAUGACGGUACCGGAAGAAUAAGGACCGGCUAACUACGUGCCAGCCGCCGCAGUAA
RNAcentral lists this ribosomal RNA (508 nucleotides) under uncultured bacterium. RNAcentral describes it as "partial 16S ribosomal RNA". It matches the Rfam family "Bacterial small subunit ribosomal RNA", at positions 30 to 523 of the family's 1533-position model. The record is from RNAcentral.